CACUUCACAGCUCGUUUGGAGAUACCUUUCUGAAAAAAUAAUGAGCCAGGCUGCUCCUGGCAGAAGAGAAAUCUGAAUCUAGAAACACGAUGGUAUCAACUUUUGUGGAAUUUUCAACACACAAGCCAAAGGCCCUCUUGAGUCUGCAUUCUCUGAGUACUGACCUUUUUCUCCCAACCUUAAUAGGACAUUGAACAAGAAAUAUCUAAGAGUAUUUUAAUGGUCAAAGCAUCAAAAACUUCUACUUCAUUCUGCAAAGUAUGGAAGGCUGUGUUUUGGGAAUCAUGAUUUAGGAAAGAAACUGGUUUGAAGAAGAAAAAAAUCCCACAGCCAAAUAUUACAAAUUUAUUGAUGAUAUAUCAAGUGAGCACACACUACUCUCACAGAUAUAACAUGUACUUCUCUCAAAUGUUUCUGCUGAAGCUCAUAUUUAGUUUCAAAACUAUAUACUGGAAUGCUGACUCAAACUUUGUGUCCUCUUUUUUUCUGAUAGAUGUUUCUAAUUAAAGACUGCCGUUCACUUUCCCAAAGAGACAAUGACCUGAACCAGCAAGGAACAUUGAGAACAAUGCCAGCUUCCUCUUCCUAGGGUUCAUUUCCUCAAUUGAAUAAGUUCAUUCUUCUGAAAUGAUUAAAAAAUUAAACAUCGUGUUCUGUCUUUCUGUCAACCUAAGUGUCUUGUCCUACCACAGAACUCCUACAAUUACCAGGAGUCUUUCCAAGAAGGCAAUUUUUGCCUACCAGUUAAAUGCCAGACUCAGGAAAGAUCUUUGUAUACAAUCUGUCUGAUCUACCUCAUCACCUGAGAGGAUAAACAGGAUUUACCUUGGUCUGUAGGCAUUAACUCUGUGAGCUUUAAAAUCCAACUUGUUCUCAGAGUGAUUGCCUGCCCAACUGUACUGCAUUACACCGAGUUCCUCCAAAAUGCUGAGACUCCUGAGCAGCCUGACAAAUAGAACUUUUUCAGGGUUCUGUAGAAGGUAGGGGGUUUUUUUUGUUUGUUUUUUUUUGGGUUUUUUUUUUUUUUUUUUUUUUUUUAUUUUUAUUCUAUGUUUCUUUGUUUGUUUGGAGUUUUAUCAUGGAUAAAACAAAAAUUAUUCCCCCCACAUUUCUGCUCAGCAAAAUUGUUAUGGAAUCAUU
RNAcentral lists this long non-coding RNA (1140 nucleotides) under Taeniopygia guttata (zebra finch). RNAcentral describes it as "lncRNA (ENSTGUG00000027880.1)". Lineage: Eukaryota; Metazoa; Chordata; Aves; Passeriformes; Estrildidae. The record is from RNAcentral.